AGGGUGAGGCUGCCUUGGCCACAGAUGGUGGUGGCGUAUGGUUCUGAGGAAUGAAGAAGCAGAGAUCAUGCAAGGUGUUUCCAUCCAAAAGUAGGCAUCUCAUGUCAUCUGCUCUGGCCAGUAUUUAACCUUGAGAAAAGAAGAAGUGUAGAGAUGAUGUACUUGCCUGAGGGAUGGAUUAAAAAGUCUUUGGUCUUCUCUGAACGGUACUACUGAAUUUAUCCUCAUCACCGUCAUCAUUGUCAUUGUCAUCAUCAUCAUGAAAACAGGAGCAGAGAGAGGAAUGCUAUGAAGCUAUUAUUGUUCAAAAAAGACCUGGAGACAGCGGAUUGAAAAUCUCACAGCCAAAACGCAAUCUGGUGACUACCUUCUCUGGCUCUCAUUUGCUGACUUUGGAAGUUUGAAAAGAAGUCUGGUGAAGGGAAGCAAGGUGUGGAAAAACAUGAGAAGAAAGCUCUUGUAGAAGGCCUGUCUCCACAAGGACCUCACCUGUACAUAGGAAAGAUGGACAAGAGCCGGGAACCACAAAAUCUCAGAGUUGGAGAGCCUGUCAAGUCUGUCCAUUGCUAUCUCUCACAGAUGCGAGCCGGCACUGCACCACCAGGCUGAAGGACCAUCUUUUUUCCUUUCUAAUUAAAGAAUCGUGUUUCCUUUU
This 655-nucleotide long non-coding RNA is filed under the name Homo sapiens (human). Its description in RNAcentral is "long intergenic non-protein coding RNA 1344". Lineage: Eukaryota; Metazoa; Chordata; Mammalia; Primates; Hominidae. The record is from RNAcentral.